Molecule: transfer RNA, 75 nt
Filed under: bacterium
Lineage: Bacteria
Description: tRNA-His
Rfam family: tRNA
About the family: Transfer RNA (tRNA) molecules are approximately 80 nucleotides in length. Their secondary structure includes four short double-helical elements and three loops (D, anti-codon, and T loops).
Source: RNAcentral
CGGGGGUUCGGGUAUGUGGUAACCUGCUAGAUUGUGACUCUAGUACAGGAGGUUCGAGUCCUCCACCCCCGACCA